AGCUCCAAUAGCAUAUAUUAAAGUUGUUGCGGUUAAAAAGCUCGUAGUCGGAUUUCUGCCGAGGACAACCGGUCCGCCCUCUGGGUGAGCAUCUGGCUUGAUCUGGGCAUCUUCUUGGAGAGCGUAGCUGCACUUGACUGUGUGGUGCGGUAUCCAGGACUUUUACUUUGAGGAAAUUAGAGUGUCCUAAGCAGGCCCAUGCCAUAAAUACAUUAGCAUGGAAUAAUAAGGUAGGACCUACUCUCUAUUUUGUUGGUUUCUAGAGCAGAGGUAAUGGUCAAUGGGGAUAGUUGGGGGUAUUCGUAUUUGACUGUCAGAGGUGAAAUUCUUGGAUUUGUCAAAGACGAACCAAUGCGAAAGCAUUUGCCAGAGAUGUUUUCC
Molecule: ribosomal RNA, 381 nt
Filed under: uncultured eukaryote
Lineage: Eukaryota
Description: SSU rRNA
Rfam family: Eukaryotic small subunit ribosomal RNA
Source: RNAcentral